RNAcentral lists this long non-coding RNA (842 nucleotides) under Malus domestica (apple). Its description in RNAcentral is "long non-coding RNA (MDOM_LNC008248)". The record is from RNAcentral. Lineage: Eukaryota; Viridiplantae; Streptophyta; Magnoliopsida; Rosales; Rosaceae.
UCAACUAUUUUUAAAAAUUCUCAAAAAUUCCAGAAAUGAAGAUCUCAAAGAGCAAAGCAAAGUUUAUGCAUGCAGCUAAGUCCAAUUUGGCCUAGAAAGGUUCCAAUUUCACUGGAACCUGUCAGAAACCCCUAGAAAUGGGUGUAUUUCAAUUCGACCUCCAUAGCAACUCCGACGCCCCAACCAAUGUUUGGGCUUUGUUCUAUACCUCAAGGAGAGUCUAAUGGUGGUAGUAAUUGGAUGAAAUCAUUUUAUAUUUGGAAGAUCGAAGACACGGAUUCACCGCACCCAUAGGUACAGUUUUCAUCAAAUCAGAGGCAAACUCCAUAAAUUUUGGGUUGUUAUUGGUAGAGGGAAGGGCAUUGAGUGUUUCCUAAGUGUUAAUUUGACAUGAAUCGCCGGAAAAAUGGGUGGAAUUGGCCGGAAUAACCCCGGCCAAAACGGGUUGGGUGGCGUGGGUGCACGAGUCCAAAAAAUAGGGGAGAUUUGUUCCCUCAUUUCCCUCCUUACUCUAUUUUUUUAUUGGGUCCGAUCCUACCCCUCCUCUCAUUUCUCUUCUCUCCAUCUCAUCCCAACCAUCCAUUUCUUUUUUCCCUUUCCUCCUAGGCACACAUAUGGCUUUCACAGAUAUUUGCUCCAGAAAUCUGGAGCCUUCCAAAUCAAUUAAAAUUACCAUUUUAUCCCUAACUUUAAACGUUAAUAACUCUCUUGUUAUAAUUCCAAAUUGUGCUAUGUUUGCACUCACGCGUCCGUACCAAUGAGUACUAAGAGGAUACACUAAGAAAAUGAGUCUUACAUGACACAACAUGGUAGUCAACAAAAGUCAACAUUCUACCUCUAAG